Molecule: ribosomal RNA, 330 nt
Filed under: uncultured prokaryote
Description: bacterial SSU rRNA
Rfam family: Bacterial small subunit ribosomal RNA
Source: RNAcentral
AGAGUUUGAUCCUGGCUCAGAUUGAACGCUGGCGGCAUGCCUAACACAUGCAAGUCGAACGGUAACAGGUCUUCGGAUGCUGACGAGUGGCGGACGGGUGAGUAAUGCGUAGGAAUCUGUCUUUUAGUGGGGGACGAACCCAGGGAAACUUAGGGCUAAUACCGCAAAAUGAGCCCUGAGGGGGAAAGCGGGGGAGUCUUCGGACCUCGCGCUAAGAGAGGAGCCUACGUCCGAUUAGCUAGUUGGCGGGGUAAAGGCCCACCAAGGCGACGAUCGGUAGCUGGUCUGAGAGGACGACCAGCCACACUGGGACUGAGACACGGCCCAGAC